This 200-nucleotide unclassified non-coding RNA is filed under the name soil metagenome. RNAcentral describes it as "partial contains internal transcribed spacer 2 and large subunit ribosomal RNA". The record is from RNAcentral.
CUGUUCGAGCGUCAUUAUAACCACUCAAGCCUUGGCUUGGUCUUGGGGUUCGCGGUUUCGCGGCCCUUAAAAUCAGUGGCGGUGCCGUUUGGCUCUAAGCGUAGUAAUUCUCUCGCUAUAGGGUCCAGGUGACCACCUGCCAGAACCCCCCAUUCUUUACGGUUGACCUCGGAUCAGGUAGGGAUACCCGCUGAACUUAA